Lagopus muta (rock ptarmigan) is the source of this 1998-nucleotide long non-coding RNA. RefSeq lists it as uncharacterized. Lineage: Eukaryota; Metazoa; Chordata; Aves; Galliformes; Phasianidae. The transcript has 3 exons. The record is from RefSeq and is a predicted model, not a curated record.
UUGAUCACCUGAGGUGAGCAAUGAGUCAGCCAGAGGAGCACAGGCAAGCCUGGCUCCACUCCUCCUAGACCUAUUUAAGGGCUGGCUACCAAUAGGGAAAGAUCUCUUCUGGAGAUUGCCUCUGCUGCUAUUCUGUGAGUGAGCCCAGGAUAGGGCCACUGCUGCUAAUGUCCCACCAGAAGAUCCUUGUUUGUCCAUCUCCUAAUGCAGAUAAAUCCCAUCUGAUGGAUACAAACGCCUGAAAAAAUGAAGUGAAAAUCCCUGUGGUUUCUGCAGUAUCCUCCAAUCAAAAACUGAAGAUUUCCAAAGAACUAGAAAAUAUGUAAAUCUGUCUGAGGGAUCUUGUAUGGAAUUUUAGGCGGAUGAGGAGAAUUGCUGGUGCUGUGUUCUUCUGCAUUCUGCAUCACACUUUGGGCUACUUGCUGAAGAAACUGUAAUGUCCCAGCUUUCUAACAAUUGAUGGGAAGAUGAUGUCAGCACAGUAAAGGACAGCCUUCCUGCUACAACCUUCCUAUACAGGCUAUGCAAUUUGAUGGCAUCACUUUUUAGUGCUGUGUAGUUUCCCUGAUUUCUUCCUUUGUCUUCCCAACUCCCUCUGCAAUGUCUGUGAUUCUGUCUCUGACAGGACUGAAAAUGUAGUGAAGGUACAUAUUAUAGUACCUAGUGUUCAUAACUAUUCCCUUUUUUCUUCAUGUUUGAAAUGCAUUACAUUUAAUCUGUUUUCUAUAUUGUAGUAGUAAACUGAUAUCUGAUAGCCUAACAAAAGGUUCUGCUACUAAAUGAUUGCUGAGCUUCUCUGAGACUUUGUCAAUUGCUGAGUUUGUCCAUCAACAUCUUUCUUAUUGAUAUGCACUGUUUUCAAACCAUGCAAGCUUAACAGCUUGCUGUCCCAAUUCCUGACUUGCUGCCUGACUUGGGGAAGGGCCUCUUCUCACUUAAUGCUGACUGUAAUUUAGAGCUAAAUUUUGUUCAAAGAUGAUCAGCAACAGGAACAACAGAGUGUUUUACUGCUGAGGUCACUGUACUGAUCACACAACAGGUGAUAAGGCCUGAACUUCCUUGCCCUUUCAGAGACCAAACGAGGACGUAGCAAUCUGUUAUAUGUUCUAAAUGACUGAAGAGCAGAAGUCACGUCACUGGCUUGGUCCUGAAUCAAUUUGGUUGUGUUUUGGGUCCUGUGAGUUCAGAAACCUCAUGUGCUAGCUGGUCAAAUGGCAUUUCUGAAGUCACCUGAAAAAUAAUAACAAGGUUUGUUACUUAUCUUGAGUCCUACCAGCACAGCAUGUUACAAGUAGGCAUGUUUUGUAAAUUGUUGAAUGCUGAACCUAUUGAAUCUUAUUACCUCUGGUGAUGGCAAAGCCUUUGUCUUUUAAUGGCUUAAGUUGACAGUGUGAUUUUCUGCAAGGAGCUAAAAAGAAUCCUACCUGAAAAUGAUAAGAUUUUAGCAGCAGAUGUAAUUCACAGCAGAAUGAACACGAUGCUUUCCACAGGCUAAUCUGCAAAAUGAAAACGUUCAAUUAGGUAAUACAUUUUGAUGUAUGGACAUGGGAGCCUGAGGAUGGGUGCACAACAUCAUGACAACAGUCAAGUUGGAUCAGGAUCCUGUCUAACAUUGGCUGAAAAUGAGGUCCCAAGAGUAGCAGCAAUGCAGCCAUGGAGGAAUUGUUUCUUGAUUGCUCUCCAGCAUCCAGAAAUUCCUGGGCAUUUUUGAGUACCCUCAAUGGAUUUUUCUGACAUGGCUUUGCCCAAUUACUUCUGAAUACAUAUAAACUUAGUAUCUACAUCCUGGCUAACAGUGUUCUGCAGCUCAUGAUCUGUAAAUAACUGUGUCCCUUUCCCUGAAUAAAUGAUACCAGUUGCUGUUUUAGCAUUUUCUGAUACCACGCAGAUGGCCAUAAAGCUGUGGGAAGUUGUCUAGAGGGCAGCCAUUGCUCAGGCAAUGCUGGCUGUUGGUUGGUGGUGAUGUGUGGAAUCAAACACUAUAACCAGAAUAAUCAU